UUCCGUCCAUUGUGCAAGGGGCUUAAGAGUCAAUUACGUUCGAUUACUACAAAGCAGCUUAUUCUAGUGAACAAAGUUAUUGUACCGAAAGUGGGAAAAGUGACUAAUCAAAAUAAAUAAAAAAUAUCAUUACUAACUGUGUUUUACAGGUGGUAUGGUUUGGCGAGGUUAUUCUCAUUGUGGCAGUUGACUCAGGUCACUCACUUCAUCUAUUUAGGUGGUAUGAAUCCCGUGGACUCUGCAGGACAUUAUUUUAAAUGUGCCUUUACUAGCGAUAUAGAUAUUUUAUCUCAUGUCACGUGGCUGGGUACAAAAAAUUUAUACGCUUUAAAAGGAACUCGCUUCGCCGAAGCAUGUAAAGAUCACGUCUUUAUUAUAUUAUUUUGACUACAUUGCUUUCAUAUCUGAUUAAUGUUAAAGAUGCAUUCAUAUUUAAUUUACGUUAACAAUGUUUUUUCACAGAUGCAAUGGCUAGAAAUCGUGACUACUGCCGACCAACUAAUAUCGAGUUUGCUGAAGCAAUGACUCGCGCUCUUUAAAGUUUAAAAGAGAGGCGACGAAAACGUCAAUUAGUCGCAGAUUUGAACAACCAACAUCAGCAAUUAGAUAAUCGACAACGUUGAAGAGAAAGACCGUCAAGUUCGUAGAUGUCAUGUGAAAAAAACAACCUCUGCUAGAGUUCACAGAAUAUCGCCAGAGUUGCUACCUUUCAAAGCACUGAUGUAAGUUUAAGCAUUUGUAAACUACAUUGUCAUUUUGUCAACAUAUGAAAAAGUAAAAAAAUCCGAAAAGUUUAUAUUGCUGCAAUAAUACAAAAAACAUUAAGUUUGUCUUAUCACUCGUCAAGUUUCAGCAAA
Molecule: long non-coding RNA, 857 nt
Organism: Pseudomyrmex gracilis
Lineage: Eukaryota; Metazoa; Arthropoda; Insecta; Hymenoptera; Formicidae
Exons: 2
Source: RefSeq, a predicted model, not a curated record